UGGGGAAUAUUGCACAAUGGGCGCAAGCCUGAUGCAGCCAUGCCGCGUGUGUGAAGAAGGCCUUCGGGUUGUAAAGCACUUUCAGCGAGGAGGAAGGUGGUGAGCUUAAUACGCUCAUCAAUUGACGUUACUCGCAGAAGAAGCACCGGCUAACUCCGUGCCAGCAGCCGCGGUAAUACGGAGGGUGCAAGCGUUAAUCGGAAUUACUGGGCGUAAAGCGCACGCAGGCGGUUUGUUAAGUCAGAUGUGAAAUCCCCCGGGCUCAACCUGGGAACUGCAUUUGAAACUGGCAAGCUAGAGUCUCGUAGAGGGGGGUAGAAUUCCAGGUGUAGCGGUGAAAUGCGUAGAGAUCUGGAGGAAUACCGGUGGCGAAGGCGGCCCCCUGGACGAAGACUGACGCUCAGGUGCGAAAGCGUGGGGCAGCAAACAGGAUUAGAUACCCUGGUAGUCCAGCGCUGUAAACGAUGUCGAUUUGGAGGUUGUGCCCCUUGAGGCGUGGCUUCCGGAGCUAACG
This 514-nucleotide ribosomal RNA is filed under the name uncultured bacterium. RNAcentral describes it as "partial 16S ribosomal RNA". It matches the Rfam family "Bacterial small subunit ribosomal RNA", at positions 355 to 857 of the family's 1533-position model. The record is from RNAcentral.